CGUAGGUGGCAAGCGUUGUCCGGAUUUACUGGGCGUAAAGGAUGCGUAGGUGGAUAUUUAAGUGGGAUGUGAAAUACCCGGGCUCAACUCGGGUGCUGCAUUCCAAACUGGAUAUCUAGAGUGCAGGAGAGGUAAGUGGAAUUCCUAGUGUAGCGGUGAAAUGCGUAGAGAUUAGGAAGAACACCAGUGGCGAAGGCGACUUACUGGACUGUAAUUGACACUGAGGCAUGAAAGCGUGGGGAGCAAACAGGAUUAGAUACCCUGGUAGUCCACGCCGUAAACGAUGGGUACUAGGUGUGGGAGGUAUCGACCCCUUCCGUGCCGCCGUUAACACAAUAAGUACCCCGCCUGGGGAGUACGGUCGCAAGAUUA
RNAcentral lists this ribosomal RNA (372 nucleotides) under uncultured organism. RNAcentral describes it as "bacterial SSU rRNA". It matches the Rfam family "Bacterial small subunit ribosomal RNA", at positions 526 to 896 of the family's 1533-position model. The record is from RNAcentral.